CCCUUAGAUGUUCUGGGCUGCACGCGUGCUACACUGCUAUUGCCAAUAUGUCAUUCUUAUCCGAAAUGGAUUGGGUAAUCAAGUAAUGAAAUUUCAUGCUUGGAAUCGGUAAUUGCAAUUUUAUCGUGAACGAGGAAUUCCUAGUAAGCACUAGUCAUCAGCUAAUGUUGAUUAUGUCCCUGCCCUUUGUACACACCGCCCGUCGCUACUACUGAUUGGGUGUUCAAGUGAGAUGCUUAGACCCUUGUUGCAUGGUUCAUUAUUGUGCUCCGAAAGGAAAAAGUUUCAAGCUUGAGUGUCUAGAGGAAGUAAAAGUCGUAACA
RNAcentral lists this ribosomal RNA (323 nucleotides) under uncultured eukaryote. Its description in RNAcentral is "partial 18S ribosomal RNA". It matches the Rfam family "Eukaryotic small subunit ribosomal RNA", at positions 1470 to 1796 of the family's 1831-position model. The record is from RNAcentral.